This 504-nucleotide ribosomal RNA is filed under the name Rhizobium sp. Its description in RNAcentral is "partial 23S ribosomal RNA". It matches the Rfam family "Bacterial large subunit ribosomal RNA", at positions 71 to 491 of the family's 2925-position model. Lineage: Bacteria; Pseudomonadati; Pseudomonadota; Alphaproteobacteria; Hyphomicrobiales; Rhizobiaceae. The record is from RNAcentral.
AAAAGCCGUGGGGAGCUGCGAAUGAGCUUUGAUCCAUGGAUCUCCGAAUGGGGCAACCCACCUUAAAUGCUUGGGAAAUCUGAUGCGCCGUUGGCGCAUGAGCGAAUAGGAUUUAGCGAAUAGCGAAUAGAAUUCAAAAACUAUUCGCUACUGGCUAUUGGCUAUUGGCUGCGUCGAAGACGCGUCAGGUUUCCAAGCAUUGUGAUAAGGUAUCUGCACCUGAAUACAUAGGGUGUAAGAAGCGAACGCAGGGAACUGAAACAUCUAAGUACCUGCAGGAAAGGACAUCAACCGAGACUCCGCAAGUAGUGGCGAGCGAACGCGGACCAGGCCAGUGGCAAUUGUGAUUAAAGUGGAACGCUCUGGAAAGUGCGGCCGUAGUGGGUGACAGCCCCGUACGCGUAGAUAUCAUGAUUGUCCUAGAGUAGGGCGGGACACGAGAAAUCCUGUCUGAACAUGGGGAGACCACUCUCCAAGCCUAAGUACUCGUGCAUGACCGAUAGC